AGAGGAUGAUGGCUUUUUCUCAUUGUAGUCUGUGGACGUCCUUGGGGAGAGUGUCAAUAAUAUCAGUGGCUUAGCUGAUGCCCGGAG
Small nucleolar RNA from Molossus molossus (Pallas's mastiff bat), 87 nucleotides. RefSeq annotates it as small nucleolar RNA SNORD35. Lineage: Eukaryota; Metazoa; Chordata; Mammalia; Chiroptera; Molossidae. The transcript has a single exon. The record is from RefSeq and is a predicted model, not a curated record.